UACGAGGGGGGCAAGUGUUGUUCGGAAUCACUGGGCGUAAAGGGUGCGUAGGUGGCGCCGUAAGUCAGGUGUGAAAUUUCGGAGCUUAACUCCGAAACUGCAUUUGAUACUGCGGUGCUUGAGGACUGGAGAGGAGACUGGAAUUUACGGUGUAGCAGUGAAAUGCGUAGAGAUCGUGAGGAAGACCAGUGGCGAAGGCGAGUCUCUGGACAGUUCCUGACACUGAGGCACGAAGGCCAGGGGAGCAAACGGG
RNAcentral lists this ribosomal RNA (253 nucleotides) under uncultured bacterium. Its description in RNAcentral is "partial 16S ribosomal RNA". It matches the Rfam family "Bacterial small subunit ribosomal RNA", at positions 524 to 776 of the family's 1533-position model. The record is from RNAcentral.